RNAcentral lists this non-coding RNA (108 nucleotides) under human gut metagenome. RNAcentral describes it as "THF riboswitch". It matches the Rfam family "THF (Tetrahydrofolate) riboswitch aptamer". From Rfam's summary of the family: THF riboswitch presents a pseudoknot that joins P1-P2 and the loop of P3 and two THF binding. The record is from RNAcentral.
AGAGUAGCCUUGGCGCGUAAAGUGCCGCCGGACGGGACGUUGUCGGCGGACGAAAGAAAGCGGGUUGAAAAACAAUCGACUUUCUGCGGCGACCACGGCGCGUCCGCU